RNAcentral lists this long non-coding RNA (897 nucleotides) under Homo sapiens (human). RNAcentral describes it as "HSALNT0182830". Lineage: Eukaryota; Metazoa; Chordata; Mammalia; Primates; Hominidae. The record is from RNAcentral.
CCGAAGGCACAUUCCUAAGGCCCUAGCACAACGUGGAGCGCAUGAUAGGCAUGCUUGUUCUUUCUCCUCAUUUCCCCCUGUUCUUUCCUCAUUUCCUUGUGCUAAGUAAAAUGACUUUAGAACCUGGGUGGGAAGUAGGGAAGAAGCCGUGAGUCCCGUCCUGACCUCCAGACCUUGCAUGUGGAUUGGUUUUGCUGCUGUAAGGAAAGGGCUCAAGGACAGCAGCUCAGCAUCCUGUGGCUGCACACGCAGAGUGAGAGGGACAUGGUGGCAGGGCCUAUCGAGGGUCUGCGUGGCCAGGAACGAGGAGUGUCAUGACCGAGAAUGAAUACUCUGGAUGUGGUGGCUGGCUCCUUGUGAAGAAGAAUUCAAUCAGAUUCCAUUUGAUUAAUCUGCAUUGAGAUCCUAGUAUGUGUCCGACACUAUGCAGAAAUACUUCACUCCCUCUUCCAUGGCAGACCAUGAUGAACUAGGGUUUGCUGUUUUCACGGCUUCUGUCACUGUUGGAGCUGAGGCUGAGGCUGCAGCAGGAGCUCCUCUGGCCCCGAGGCAAGAGACAUGUUCUCUGCAUCCCCAGGGGACCCAAAGCAACUUCUGGUUUGGGUUAAAGAGGACUUGGGUGACCCCACCCUGCCAGUCAUCCACCCUCUGGCAGCCAGGGCGGCAGCAGGGGAGGGGGCAGAAGGCUGCCACAGUGCUUCUCUCCCCUGCCAUUUCCUCUGCAGCUCCCUCUCUGGCCCUGUUUUUCAGACCUCUAGUAAUAAAAACAAGCCAAUAAAAUGAACAUGAAAAUAUAUUCAUUAGGAUUUAUAAUGCUCAUUAAAACUGCCUGUGUACGAAAGCAUGACUUAGCUUCAUAUAAGUGGGAAAAAAAUGCAAAUUAUACUGCAUGCAAAG